This 588-nucleotide ribosomal RNA is filed under the name Triticum aestivum (bread wheat). RNAcentral's name for it is "partial small subunit ribosomal RNA". The record is from RNAcentral. Lineage: Eukaryota; Viridiplantae; Streptophyta; Magnoliopsida; Poales; Poaceae.
AUGGUGAGCGAAGCCGCCAACGCCGGCAUCGACCGCGUGCUGUGGACAGAGGCCGAGAUCGCCACGCGGGUCGCCGAGGUCGCCUCGGAGCUCGCCGCCGACAUCCGCCGGCUCGCGGAGCCGGCCGUCGUCGUGGGCGUCGCCACGGGGGCGUUCCUCUUCCUCGCUGACCUGGUGCGGCGCGUCGACGUGCCGCUCGCCGUCGACCUCGUGCGCGUCGAGUCGUAUGGCGACGGCACCGAGUCCAGCGGCCGGCCCCGGGUCACCUCUGACCUCAAGGUCGACGUCGCCGGGAAGCACGUCGUGGUGGUUGAAGAUAUUGUCGACACAGGGAAUACUGUUUCCUGUCUCAUUGCCCAUUUACAAAAGAAAGGAGCACUGUCCAUAUCAGUUUGCACUUUCCUGGACAAACCAGCAAGGAGGACAGUCGAUUUUCAGCUAGUGGGGGGUGGAAAAUUUUACAGAGGCUUCGAGUGCCCCGACAGCUUUGUUGUUGGCUAUGGUAUGGAUUAUGCGGAGCUCUACCGCAACCUGCCUUAUGUUGGAGUUCUCAAGCCUGAGAUGUACAGUAAGAAAACUGACAACUAG